This 253-nucleotide ribosomal RNA is filed under the name uncultured bacterium. RNAcentral's name for it is "partial 16S ribosomal RNA". It matches the Rfam family "Bacterial small subunit ribosomal RNA", at positions 524 to 776 of the family's 1533-position model. The record is from RNAcentral.
UACGUAGGUGGCAAGCGUUGUCCGGAUUUACUGGGCGUAAAGAGCGCGCAGGCGGUCGUUCAAGUCGCGUGUGAAAUCCCUCAGCUUAACUGGGGAACUGCGUCCGAUACUGAUUGGCUUGAAUCCGGAAGAGGGAUGCGGAAUUCCUGGUGUAGCGGUGAAAUGCGCAGAUAUCAGGAGGAACACCGGUGGCGAAGGCGGGUCUCUGGGCAGUAACUGACGCUGAGGAGCGAAAGCGUGGGGAGCGAACAGG